UUUGAACGCAAGUUGCGCCCGAGGCCUUCUGGUCGAGGGCACGCCUGCCUGGGCGUCACGUCAAAAGACACUCCCAACCCAUCCAAGGGGAGGGACGUGGUGUUUGGCCUCCCGUGCCGCAAGGCGCGGUUGGCCGAAGUUGAGGCUGCCGGCAUACCGUGUCGGGCACCGCACGUGGUGGGCGACUUCAAGUUGUUCUCGGUGCAGCGCCCCGGCACGUAGCUAGCGCGUUGCCCUAAGGACCCAUCGACCGUAGCGCUUGUUGCUCGGACCGCGACCCCAGGUCAGGCGGGACUACCCGCUGAGUUUAAGCAUAUAAAUAAGCGGAGGAGAAGAAACUUACAAGGAUUCCCCUAGUAACGGCGAGCGAACCGGGAGCAGCCCAGCU
This 388-nucleotide ribosomal RNA is filed under the name Digitaria horizontalis. RNAcentral describes it as "eukaryotic LSU rRNA". The stretch from base 275 to 388 matches the Rfam family "Eukaryotic large subunit ribosomal RNA", at positions 1 to 114 of the family's 3401-position model. Lineage: Eukaryota; Viridiplantae; Streptophyta; Magnoliopsida; Poales; Poaceae. The record is from RNAcentral.